Molecule: ribosomal RNA, 254 nt
Filed under: uncultured bacterium
Lineage: Bacteria
Description: partial 16S ribosomal RNA
Rfam family: Bacterial small subunit ribosomal RNA
Source: RNAcentral
UACGUAGGGGCCUAGCGUUGUCCGGAUUUAUUGGGCGUAAAGAGCUCGUAGGCGGUUCGGUAAGUCAGGUGUGAAAUCUCCACGCUCAACGUGGAGGCGCCACCUGAAACUGCCGUGACUCGAGUCCGGUAGGGGAGUGUGGAAUUCCCGGUGUAGCGGUGAAAUGCGUAGAGAUCGGGAGGAACACCCGUGGCGAAGGCGGCCAUCUGGACCAGCACUGACGCUGAGGCACGAAAGCGUGGGGAGCAAACAGG